GAUGAACGCUAGCGGCAGGCCUAAUACAUGCAAGUCGAACGGUAACAGGUGUAGCAAUACAUGCUGACGAGUGGCAGACGGGUGAGGAACACGUACACAACUUCCCUCUUACCGGGGCACAACUCAGAGAAAUCUGGGCUAAUUCCCCGUAAUAUCACGAUGUGGCAUCACAUUGAGAUUAAAACUCCGGUGGUAAGCGAUGGGUGUGCGUCUGAUUAGCAGUUGGUGAGGUAACGGCUCACCAAGGCAACGAUCAGUAACUGGUGUGAGAGCACGACCAGUCAC
Molecule: ribosomal RNA, 285 nt
Filed under: uncultured bacterium
Lineage: Bacteria
Description: partial 16S ribosomal RNA
Rfam family: Bacterial small subunit ribosomal RNA
Source: RNAcentral